CCCCUAGAUGUUCUGGGCCGCACGCGCGCUACACUGAACAGUUCAACAAGUCUUAACCUUGGCCGAUAGGUCUGGGUAAUCUUUGAACGCUGUUCGUGAUUGGGAUAGACCUUUGCAAUUAUGGGUCUUCAACGAGGAAUUCCUAGUAAACGCAAGUCAUCAGCUUGCAUUGAUUGCGUCCCUGCCCUUUGUACACACCGCCCGUCGCACCUACCGAUUGAAUGGUCCGGUGAAAUCUCGGGACGGCGGCUUGGUCGCUUGCGUCCGACUGCUGAAACUUGAUUAAACCAUAUCAUUUAGAGGAAGGUGAAGUCGUAACA
Molecule: ribosomal RNA, 320 nt
Filed under: uncultured eukaryote
Lineage: Eukaryota
Description: partial 18S ribosomal RNA
Rfam family: Eukaryotic small subunit ribosomal RNA
Source: RNAcentral